Molecule: ribosomal RNA, 497 nt
Filed under: uncultured bacterium
Lineage: Bacteria
Description: partial 16S ribosomal RNA
Rfam family: Bacterial small subunit ribosomal RNA
Source: RNAcentral
GAUGAACGCUGGCGGCGUGCCUAAUACAUGCAAGUCGAGCGAACAGAUGAGGAUCUUGCUCCUCUUACGUUAGCGGCGGACGGGUGAGUAACACGUGGAUAACCUACCUAUAAGACUGAGAUAACUUCGGGAAACCUGAUCUAAUACCGGAUAAUAUAUUGAACCGCAUGGUUCAAUAGUGAACAACGGUUUUGCUGUCACUUAUAGAUGGAUCCGCGUCGCAUUAGCUAGUUGGUAAGGUAACGGCCUACCAAGGCAACGAUGCGUAGCCGACCUGAGAGGGUGAUCGGCCACACUGGAACUGAGACACGGUCCAGACUCCUACGGGAGGCAGCAGUAGGGAAUAUUCCGCAAUGGGCGAAAGCCUGACGGAGCAACGCCGCGUGAGUGAUGAAGGUCUUCGGAUCGUAAAACUCUGUUAUUAGGGAAGAACAAAUGUGUAAGUAACUAUGCACGUCUUGACGGUACCUAAUCAGAAAGCAACGGCUAACUACGUG